This 828-nucleotide ribosomal RNA is filed under the name uncultured marine bacterium. RNAcentral's name for it is "bacterial SSU rRNA". It matches the Rfam family "Bacterial small subunit ribosomal RNA", at positions 60 to 895 of the family's 1533-position model. The record is from RNAcentral.
AGUCGAGCGAGAAAGCUCUUUUACGAUUUCUUCGGAAUGAAUAGUUGAGCGGACAGCGGCGCAAGGGAGAGUAACGCGUGGAAGUUUACCCUGAGGAGAGGGAUAGCUGCGGGAAACUGCAGGUAAUACCUCAUAAUGUCUCCGGACCAAAUGAAUUUCGCCUCAGGAGAACUCCGCGUCCUACUAGCUUGUUGGUGGUGUAACGGACUACCAAGGCUAUGAUGGGUAGCGGGUGUGAGAGCAUGACCCGUCUCACUGGGACUGAGACACUGCCCAGACACCUACGGGUGGCUGCAGUCGAGAAUCUUCGGCAAUGGGCGAAAGCCUGACCGAGCGACGCCGCGUGCGGGAUGAAGGUCUUCGGGUUGUAAACCGCUGUCAGAGGGGAGGAAAGCUUCGGCUUGACUGAACCUCAGAGGAAGCACGGGCUAAGUUCGUGCCAGCAGCCGCGGUAACACGAACCGUGCGAACGUUAUUCGGAAUCACUGGGCUUAAAGGGUGCGUAGGCGGCUUUGCAAGUGAGGUGUGAAAUCCCUCAGCUCAACUGAGGAACUGCGCUUCAAACUGCAUAGCUAGAGGGAGACAGAGGUAAGCGGAACUGAUGGUGGAGCGGUGAAAUGCGUUGAUAUCAUCAGGAACACCAGUGGCGAAGGCGGCUUACUGGGUCUCUUCUGACGCUGAGGCACGAAAGCUAGGGUAGCGAACGGGAUUAGAUACCCCGGUAGUCCUAGCUGUAAACGAUGAGUACUGGAUCGAGGAACCUUCCACAGUUUCUCGGUCGUAGCGAAAGUGUUAAGUACUCCGCCUGGGGAGUAUGGUCGCAAGGCU